Molecule: ribosomal RNA, 467 nt
Filed under: uncultured bacterium
Lineage: Bacteria
Description: bacterial SSU rRNA
Rfam family: Bacterial small subunit ribosomal RNA
Source: RNAcentral
CCAGACUCCUACGGGAGGCAGCAGUGAGGAAUAUUGGUCAAUGGGCGAGAGCCUGGACCAGCCAAGUCGCGUGAGGGAAGACGGUCCUACGGAUUGUAAACCUCUUUUGUCAGGGAGCAACGCCGGCUACGUGUAGCCGGACUGAGAGUACCUGAAGAAAAAGCAUCGGCUAACUCCGUGCCAGCAGCCGCGGUAAUACGGAGGAUGCGAGCGUUAUCCGGAUUUAUUGGGUUUAAAGGGUGCGUAGGCGGAAUGCCAAGUCAGCGGUAAAAAUUCGGGGCUCAACCCCGUCCGGCCGUUGAAACUGGGGGCCUUGAGUGGGCGAGAAGAAGGCGGAAUGCGUGGUGUAGCGGUGAAAUGCAUAGAUAUCACGCAGAACCCCGAUUGCGAAGGCAGCCUUCCGGCGCCCUACUGACGCUGAGGCACGAAAGUGCGGGGAUCGAACAGGAUUAGAUACCCCUGUAUCA